UCCAAUCCAGUGUGUCCAGGCCUCGCCACU
Molecule: non-coding RNA, 30 nt
Filed under: Mus musculus (house mouse)
Lineage: Eukaryota; Metazoa; Chordata; Mammalia; Rodentia; Muridae
Source: RNAcentral